Non-coding RNA from Rattus norvegicus (Norway rat), 5247 nucleotides. The record is from RefSeq and is a predicted model, not a curated record. Lineage: Eukaryota; Metazoa; Chordata; Mammalia; Rodentia; Muridae.
AACACGCCACUGAAAGGAGAAUUUAAUCAGGACAGACUAUCAGUUCUUAAGUAGAAGGACAAACAGAAAACAAACCAAACAAACAAAACCUCACUGGGCCUAGCAGAUGUGACUUCUCAUGAGUCCUUUGAAGGAAGGAUUUGAAGGAUUCAGUCCUUUGAAGGACUGAAGAGGACAGCAGAGCCUGAAGGAGGAGUUACUACAGUUUUUGCAAUGACAUGACCCUGUGAGUGAGGAGCUUGCUCAGCUUUGACUUCUGAGGCCCUCGUCAAGGAUAUUAAAAUCCUGCACAGCGUUGUCUUAUGGAUGGGGAUUACUUUAUGUAGAAGAAUUUGAAGACAGAUCUGUGGACAAGAAAAAUAUUUGGUGGUUUCCCUAAUCUCUGGAGUAAAAGGAUUGCCUCAUGCUGUGCCUCUAACCCUGGUGGAGCUCCUGGAAGUGCAGAUGUUAUUCAUAGUCGUAUAAAUAUCUGAUCCCUGGGAAUCUCCCUGAGCUCUCUGCUUCAGUGAUUUCCUUCACUGGUGAAUACAGAUGGAUUCUGGGUCACGCUCAAGGUACUGCUUUUAAAAUGGAGAUCUCAUUGUUCCCCUGCCAUUGACCUGCAUGUUUAUUGAAAGGAAUCUUCAAGAAAGAGUUUUUCUGACCCAUCUAUUACAUUUGUUGUCCCUGCUAAACCAGACUUUAUUGCUCCUAUUCGAUAAACGCAUCCACAAAUGUAUUUGCUCACUUACAACUUAACAGUUGAACACGUUGACAGUUAUCAUUUAGUGUUUCCUGAUAAAGUUCAGGAGGUCUCACCUCUCGUAAUAUAACCAUUGAUUCACACAACUACACAGUGUUACUUUUCAUAUUAUUUUACAUACUUGGUUUAAUAUUAGCAAGUAUUCUGUUGCCUCUUGAACACUAAACAGCUUUCUCAUUGAACUAUUUAUAAUGAUUUCUAAAUGUUUUACCUCAGAGACUCGAGGUAAUUCAGAGCCCUCAGUGUUCAUGGGAAGUUUAAAUUAGGCUUCUCAAUAUGCAUUACUUUGCACUUAUCUACACUAAAUUUAAUCUAUCAUCAUAUUACCCAAUCACCUGGGUUAAUUAGAUCCUUCUGGAUUUACUCAUAAUCGUGCAAGGUUUUUGCUAUAACCUAAAUCAUUUUUUGGCCAUCAGCAGAAAUUUAACAUCUCAGUUCCUAAGCCGUCGUCCAGGUCGCCAAUAUGUUUUGGCAGUCCUGAGGCUGCCAUCCACAUCUGGAGAACCCUUCAAAGAAGCUGCUUCUUUUGGAGAAAUGCGUGCUUUUCUGUCAAGUACCUUCAUCCACAUGUAUUUACAAGGAAGUAUAGCGCUAAAAUUCUACCAUGUCAUAAAAUAAAUUCUUAAUAUAUUUUUAAAGAAAUUUCAGAUUUGCGUUGAAAUAUCUUCUCUCAAGAAUAUUGUAUGCAUGUUAUGUGGGAAGAAAUAGAGACUUAAAGAAUAAGUCAGUUCCAAAUCUUCUCAUGUAGGUAAAAGUUUUAUGUCUCUACAGGGCCCAGGGGAAAGAAGGAGAAAAAUGAAGAUUUAAUGAGGGCCUGGUAGAAGUUUCUGUUAUCUGCUCGGGAAGAUGUAAUGAGCCUCACUGAAGUUGCUAGGCUUUACUUGACAUUCCUGUGUGGAUCUUCCAUAGUAACCUAGACACUGAGGACGACUUCAUCAUCCUGUGAUUACCAAAACCACAAACCUAGGUCAGAGGGGAACAACAGUUUAGAACAGACCAUUUAUUCCUACGACACAGAGUUAAAGCCUUCCUAACUGGAUAUGCCUUUUUCGUAGAUAUUACAUAUGAUGUUUUCAUAUGUGUUCCUUAACUUUUUGGAUGAAUUAUAUAGAAUGCGUAGAUGUGUAUAAAAUGAGAGUGUACUCUCAUUUCAUGAUGAAACAUUAUAGCACAUAUUUUUCUAUUUAUUUCUAGAAUUGUUUAUUGGUGGCAUAAUGCCUCAGACAUUGCUUCUUAAGAGUCUUCUAUUUAUUGAGAAAUGACAUUUUAAAGAGAAUGACCUGGGACAAAAAAAACUGCAUGCAGUGUUUGUGUGUUAUACCAUAUAGUAGGUGACUCUGGGAUAGAAAUAAAGUUUAAAACAAACUGACACUGUCUACCAAUAAAAACAUUUGUUUUGUGAAUAUCAAGGAAGGCUUAUGGCAGAAUUUAAAAGGAAUCCUUAGACUUUAUCUUUCUCUGCCUUUGCUGAGCUUCCUACGAUGAAAUUCUAAUGGCUCAUGGUCAACUGUUGACGCAGAAGGAGUGGCCAAUUCUGAAUUUUCACUUGCAGUUAGAGGAAAUAUGGAAGAAAACUAAAUUCUACUCCCUCAUCUGAAUUUAAAAAAAGAAUUCCUCUGGUAAUGAGCAAUAAAUCUUCCCUAGUUAUAAUUAAUCCAGGCCGUUCUUGAUCCACAUCUUUGUAUCUAGAAAUGUAGAUGGGGUCACUCACUCCAGAAGAGGAUGAACCAAGAGAAACUCAGUUUUCAUUUCCUCUAAAGUCAUUCAGUGUUUACAGACAAACUUACAUCUAACUUUGAACUCAAAGAAAGACACACACACACACACACACACACACACACACACACACACAUUAUUCAAAGUAUACAAACAUAUAGUAGAAGACAUAAUACAUGCAAAUAAAAGCAAGUUUAUAUUUUUAAGUGACUUCUUCCCAGAGUCCUUUACUGUUUCCGGUGGUGACUUAAGGAUGUCUCAAGGAGGUAAUGGGUUGAUUACUAUCAAGACAAGUUCUGAACAAAUUUGUAAGUUCUAGAAAAGCAAAGUAAGCUUAAGGGAGAACAAAAAUGUCCUGUAGUCUAGUUAGUUAAUUUAGAACUUCUAAGGACACUUUAAUUUUUGUUUUGUUUUGUAUCAAAUGUACUUACUUAUAACUAUAAUAAACGCCAAACUCCAGCAAAAAUGAGCAUUUUCUGUUGAAAUGAACUGCUAUUAAAACAUAGGUAAGUUAUUUAAAACCUCAGAAAAAGAUGAACAUCACUUGAGAAAGAAAAGGUAAUUUUUUUCACUUACUAUUUUUAUACUUUAAAUCACUUCUUUUAUUAAUGGGGUUAUAAUAUAAUUACAUCAUUUCCCACCUAACUUUUAUUCCUAUAAAUCCUCUCAUAUUACAUCUUUGUUUGCUUUUAAAUGCAUAACAUCUUCUAAUCAAUUAUCCUUAUAUACAUACACACACACAUACAUACAUACAUACAUGCAAUCCUAAAUACAUAGAAACAAUCUUCGUAGUCUUUACAAUGUUCCUUACACACAUGCUUUCGAUGAUGACCUUUCUUUUAAACUGUCAAUGUAAGCAGCAUAAUUAAUUCCUAAACUUCAGGAGGCACUACACUUUGUUUGUAGGCUUUUGAAAAUGUUUUGCUUUCAUAUUUACUUGAAAUCUGAAUUUCUGGGUAUUUACAUACAUAACCAUUUAUACUGUGACCUAGACAUCCUGCAUCUAGAGGAAGAUGUCCUCUCAGUGUGGCUUUGUAUUUACGCCACAGGCAAAUUCACCAUUUCUAUGCCUAUCUGAUUGCUUGUUGGUUAUUGGGAUAUCAGGUGACCAUUUCUUCUUGCUGUAGGGAUGGUAAUGUUGGGAUGGUAACAGAAAUACUCAUUAAAACCCCUCCUUCCUCCUUCUACUCAUCUUCCAUGACCAGAUAGUGAGUAAAACUAAAUUCAGCUUCAGCAAUAAUAAUAAUGAGGUUUCCUGGAGGCAAAUUUUAUCUUAUAGGAACAGUAAAGCAAGACUGAUGGCUGUGUACAGUUUACUACAGGGGUGACCAGAGGAUCACACUAACAAGCAUGGUCUGCACAUACCCUUGGAAGACUAUUCUGGCAUCAUAGACUUGGAGAGAAGUAGAUGAUUCUGGCUUGAAUAGAUCUACAAUCAUCACCCUGUACCCUAUCCAAAGAGACUAUUAGAUUCUCAGAUCCUAAAGGAUGAAGAAUUGUUGAUAUUUGUCCACUUGUAUUUCAAAGGAAUAAACUUGAUAUUUAAACAUUAAAAAAUAAACCACACAAACUAAAGGACAACAACACAACUGAGUAACUAAACCAACAAAAUCAGUUUGAUUAUCUUUUUACUAAACAGGUAUUGUCUUCUGCUGUCAGGGGAUACAAUGUAUUCUCUCAACACUCAAGGGUAGGGAUUCAGUUGUCUGGGACUUCAGAGAUUAAUGGGAACCAAACCGACUAGAACAACUUCUCUGUAGAUAAAUGAACAAAGAGAGCAGCAUGGCAUCUGGCUUGGCAUCGUUUUAUAUUUCCUUUGUUCUAAAUGAUAUCUCAGUAAGCCGCUCCACGAUGAAGAUGAAUCGAUACCUGAAAAGAAGAUACCGAUUGCACUGCAUUAAAAUCGAAGACUGUUGUGGAAAUCAGGAAGGGGAGUUCGCAAGGAAGCGGCAGCCACAGGGUAUGUGUCUGUUCUCUGGACACCUGGAAUCCUGGAACCCUGUAUUUAAACAAGCAGGUAAGUGCAGGCUUUCCUCGGCACUGUGCUGGGUCCCACAGCAGUGUUCUCACCCACUUCCACUUGGUACAACAUCCUUUUUGUAUCUCUUUGAGCUUUGCUCGAGAUAGUUGGCACAUGUAUAUUGCUCUGUCUACAGUCCUACUUGGAUGCCACAGUUGCUGGUAUUCAUAAGCAUCAGCAUCUCAUCGCAACAUCCGACACGUUGAUGUUCGAAGCAGCCUGCCCUACAUCAUCCUGGUAUUCCAGAACACAGUCUUGAGAGCUUUUGCAUUAAAUGCUCUUAGCAUGUUCACAAUUUAACUACCUAUUUGCCAGUUAUAUGGUCUCUGUAAUUUAAAGGUAUCUACCACAGGAGUGAGUCACUCUUGCAAUGAAAGCCUUACUACUGCAUUUGACCAUUAUGAAGCUGUUAGGAUUAGGACCAACAGACUCUGCUCUGGUUUUCAUCCCCCUCCUCUUUAGACCCACACUGAAUCAAGUGCACCUCUCUUGAAGAAAUUGUUAUAUCUGGACUCUGACAGUUUUUUAAAUGCAUUCAAGUUGAAUAAAUAAAUAGAUGUAAAAUGUAUAUUGUAUUUAAAAAUACAUGUAUUCAACUGAAAUCAAUAUUUCAUACACUUGCAGGCAAUUUAGAGUAAGACUAAAGUUUGUUGUAUAUUUGAUUCCAUGAUGCAUAAAAAUUAUGGUUUAUUAUUCAUUUGUCUUCACACUAAAAUAUAAUCAAAUAAACAUCACUCAUUUUUAUGAUAAACUUUAAAUAAUACAAAGA